GUUUACUAUUCAAUAAACAUACUUACCCAACUAAUGACGUCACACGUUGUGCUGAAUCAGCAAUUUAUAUUUUGCACAUUUUUGCGUGUAACUUCGGAACUAGAUGAGAUAGAAUAGAGCAUUAAACGGCCAACCGGCUUAUUUUUUCAUGCUCUUUCAGAUGAAGCAAUAAAAAUGUUGGUUGCCAAUGUCCUUUAAAGUGCCUAUGACACGAAAUUUCACCCCAAAGGUUUAUGGUUGCAUUGUAAAGAUCACUUAAAACGACUUAAUAAUUUCUUUUAUAGAAUUUUGGUAACUUGCUUCCUUUGCAAGAUAUUCAACUUUGUUUCAUAUGCAAAUAUCACCGGUGUGACAUCACAUCGCAUAAUGAGUUUUCAGAAAAGUAUAGUUUUCUUGACGGAUACGUAUCUAAAAAACUUUAAAAUUGCCCUAGUAUAUGUAUCAAUUUCAUAACUGGUAAUUAACCCUC
Paramuricea clavata is the source of this 469-nucleotide non-coding RNA. The record is from the annotation of a GenBank genome assembly. NCBI's taxonomy places the organism in Eukaryota, Metazoa, Cnidaria, Anthozoa, Malacalcyonacea, Plexauridae.